AUACUUACCUGGCAGGGGAGAAUCGGUGGUCACGAUGGCCGAUCUCCCAGGACGAGGCUAUCCCAUUGCACUUCGGGUGUGCUGACGCCUGCGAUGUCCCCAAAUGCGGGAUACUCGACUGCAAAAUUUGUGGUAGUGGGGGACUGCGUUCGCGCUCUCCCCUG
Leucoraja erinaceus (little skate) is the source of this 164-nucleotide small nuclear RNA. RefSeq annotates it as U1 spliceosomal RNA. The record is from RefSeq and is a predicted model, not a curated record. The transcript has a single exon. Lineage: Eukaryota; Metazoa; Chordata; Chondrichthyes; Rajiformes; Rajidae.